AUUGAACGCUGGCGGCAUGCCUUACACAUGCAAGUCGAACGGUAACAGGUCUUCGGACGCUGACGAGUGGCGAACGGGUGAGUAAUGCAUCGGAACGUGCCCAGUCGUGGGGGAUAACUGCUCGAAAGAGCAGCUAAUACCGCAUACGACCUGUGGGUGAAAGCGGGGGACCGUAAGGCCUCGCGCGAUUGGAGCGGCCGAUGUCAGAUUAGCUAGUUGGUGGGGUAAAGGCCUACCAAGGCAACGAUCUGUAGUUGGUCUGAGAGGACGACCAGCCACACUGGGACUGAGACACGGCCCAGACUCCUACGGGAGGCAGCAGUGGGGAAUUUUGGACAAUGGGCGCAAGCCUGAUCCAGCAAUGCCGCGUGCAGGAAGAAGGCCUUCGGGUUGUAAACUGCUUUUGUCAGGGAAGAAAUCUUCUGGGCUAAUACCCCGGGAGGAUGACGGUACCUGAAGAAUAAGCACCGGCUAACUACGUG
RNAcentral lists this ribosomal RNA (482 nucleotides) under uncultured bacterium. RNAcentral's name for it is "partial 16S ribosomal RNA". It matches the Rfam family "Bacterial small subunit ribosomal RNA", at positions 30 to 507 of the family's 1533-position model. The record is from RNAcentral.